Molecule: transfer RNA, 20 nt
Filed under: Turnera ulmifolia var. ulmifolia
Lineage: Eukaryota; Viridiplantae; Streptophyta; Magnoliopsida; Malpighiales; Passifloraceae
Description: partial tRNA-Thr
Source: RNAcentral
GCCCGCUAAGCUUAAAGGUU